Molecule: ribosomal RNA, 235 nt
Filed under: Klebsiella pneumoniae
Lineage: Bacteria; Pseudomonadati; Pseudomonadota; Gammaproteobacteria; Enterobacterales; Enterobacteriaceae
Description: partial 16S ribosomal RNA
Rfam family: Bacterial small subunit ribosomal RNA
Source: RNAcentral
GGGCGAAAGCCGGAUCCAGCCAGGCAGCGUGUGUGAAGAAGGUCUUCGGAUUGUAAAGCACUUUAAGUUGGGAGGAAGGGCAUUAACCUAAUACGUUAGUGUUUUGACGUUACCGACAGAAUAAGCACCGGCUAACUUCGUGCCAGCAGCCGCGGUAAUACGAAGGGUGCAAGCGUUAAUCGGAAUUACUGGGCGUAAAGCGCGCGUAGGUGGUUUGUUAAGUUGAAUGUGAAAG